UAUCAAUUUAUUGUAAGCUUUUCCUGCUCAAUGAGUUAAUUUAAUAGCCGCAGUACUUUGACUGUGCUAAGGUAGCAUAAUCAUUUGGUCUUUAAUUGGGAUCUAGUAUGAAAGGAUUUACUAGGGAGGUUCUGUCUCAUCAUUAAUGUUUUUAACUUACUUAAAAGGUGAAAAUUCCUUUGAUUAACCAAAAGACGAGAAGACCCUUAGACUUUUUGAUACAUUUAAAUAUUUAAUUUCUCUUUUGUUGGGGCGACACAGAUUCAAUACUUUAACAUACUGAAAUCUUAGUAUAUAAAUCUAAUCUUUUAAUAAUAAAUAAAGUACCUGAGGGAUAACAGCAUUAUUAAAUUUUUAGAUUGUGACCUCGAUGUUGGAUUAGGAAAAGAUUUUUCAGAUAAAAAUUUAAAAGGUUCUGUUCGAACUUAAUCUCCU
RNAcentral lists this ribosomal RNA (435 nucleotides) under Bostryx solutus. RNAcentral describes it as "partial 16S ribosomal RNA". It matches the Rfam family "Archaeal large subunit ribosomal RNA", at positions 1928 to 2666 of the family's 2987-position model. The record is from RNAcentral. Lineage: Eukaryota; Metazoa; Mollusca; Gastropoda; Stylommatophora; Orthalicidae.